GUGGAUAUUGGACAAUGGGCGGAAGCCUGAUCCAGCAACGCCGCGUGAGGGAUGACGCCCUUCGGGUUCUAAACCUCUUUCAGUACCGACGAAGCGCCCGUUGUGGGUGGUGACGGUACGUACAGAAGAAGCACCGGCCAACUACGUGCCAGCAGCCGCGGUAAUACGUAGGGUGCGAGCGUUGUCCGGAAUUAUUGGGCGUAAAGGGCUCGUAGGCGGUUUGUCGCGUCGGGAGUGAAAACACCGGGCUUAACUCGGUGCUUGCUUUCGAUACGGGCAGACUUGAGGUAUGCAGGGGAGAACGGAAUUCCUGGUGUAGCGGUGAAAUGCGCAGAUAUCAGGAGGAACACCGGUGGCGAAGGCGGUUCUCUGGGCAUUACCUGACGCUGAGGAGCGAAAGUGUGGG
This 406-nucleotide ribosomal RNA is filed under the name uncultured actinomycete. RNAcentral's name for it is "bacterial SSU rRNA". It matches the Rfam family "Bacterial small subunit ribosomal RNA", at positions 357 to 765 of the family's 1533-position model. Lineage: Bacteria; Bacillati; Actinomycetota; Actinomycetes; Actinomycetales. The record is from RNAcentral.